RNAcentral lists this ribosomal RNA (427 nucleotides) under uncultured bacterium. RNAcentral describes it as "partial 16S ribosomal RNA". It matches the Rfam family "Bacterial small subunit ribosomal RNA", at positions 355 to 774 of the family's 1533-position model. The record is from RNAcentral.
UGGGGAAUAUUGGACAAUGGGCGAAAGCCUGAUCCAGCCAUGCCGCGUGUGUGAAGAAGGUCUUCGGAUUGUAAAGCACUUUAAGUUGGGAGGAAGGGCAUUAACCUAAUACGUUAGUGUUUUGACGUUACCGACAGAAUAAGCACCGGCUAACUCUGUGCCAGCAGCCGCGGUAAUACAGAGGGUGCAAGCGUUAAUCGGAAUCACUGGGCGUAAAGCGCGCGUAGGUGGUUUGUUAAGUUGGAUGUGAAAUCCCCGGGCUCAACCUGGGAACUGCAUUCAAAACUGACUGACUAGAGUAUGGUAGAGGGUGGUGGAAUUUCCUGUGUAGCGGUGAAAUGCGUAGAUAUAGGAAGGAACACCAGUGGCGAAGGCGACCACCUGGACUAAUACUGACACUGAGGUGCGAAAGCGUGGGGAGCAAACA